This 444-nucleotide ribosomal RNA is filed under the name uncultured bacterium. Its description in RNAcentral is "partial 16S ribosomal RNA". It matches the Rfam family "Bacterial small subunit ribosomal RNA", at positions 331 to 792 of the family's 1533-position model. The record is from RNAcentral.
CCAGACUCCUACGGGAGGCAGCAGUGGGGAAUAUUGCACAAUGGGGGAAACCCUGAUGCAGCGACGCCGCGUGAGUGAAGAAGUAUUUCGGUAUGUAAAGCUCUAUCAGCAGGGAAGAAAAUGACGGUACCUGACUAAGAAGCCCCGGCUAACUACGUGCCAGCAGCCGCGGUAAUACGUAGGGGGCAAGCGUUAUCCGGAUUUACUGGGUGUAAAGGGAGCGUAGACGGUAGAGCAAGUCUGAAGUGAAAGCCCGCGGCUCAACUGCGGGACUGCUUUGGAAACUGUUCAACUGGAGUGCCGGAGAGGUAAGCGGAAUUCCUAGUGUAGCGGUGAAAUGCGUAGAUAUUAGGAGGAACGCCAGUGGCGAAGGCGGCUUACUGGACAGUAACUGACGUUGAGGCUCGAAAGCGUGGGGAGCAAACAGGAUUAGAUACCCCUGUA